RNAcentral lists this ribosomal RNA (472 nucleotides) under uncultured bacterium. Its description in RNAcentral is "partial 16S ribosomal RNA". It matches the Rfam family "Bacterial small subunit ribosomal RNA", at positions 28 to 507 of the family's 1533-position model. The record is from RNAcentral.
GACGAACGCUGGCGGCGUGCUUAACACAUGCAAGUCGAACGGAAAAGCCCGGCUCUUGCGGUGGGUGCGUGUGGGGAGCGGGGGUGAAACAUACGAGUAUCCCGUGCUGUAGACUGUGAUAUCUUCAUGGAACUGUGGGUACUACAGGAGAUGAGCCCUGUCACCACGGGGUGGUGUGGAGAGUGGGGUUUGCUGGUGUUGGAUGGGCUCGCGGCUUAUCAGCUUGUUGGUGGGGUACUGGCUUACCAAGGCGCCGACGGGUAGCCGGCCUGAGAGGGUGACCGGCCACACUGGGACUGAGAUACGGCCCAGACUCCUACGGGAGGCAGCAGUGGGGAAUAUUGCACAAUGGGCGGAAGCCUGAUGCAGCGACGCCGCGUGCGGGAUGACGGCCUUCGGGUUGUAAACCGCUUUCAGCUGUGAAGAAGCGUGAGUGACGGUACUGGCAGAAGAAGCACCGGCUAACUACGUG